AUUGAACGCUGGCGGCAGGCCUAACACAUGCAAGUCGAAUGGUAACAGGAAACAGCUUGCUGUUUCGCUGACGAGUGGCGGACGGGUGAGUAAUGUCUGGGAAACUGCCUGAUGGAGGGGGAUAACUACUGGAAACGGUAGCUAAUACCGCAUAACGUCGCAAGACCAAAGAGGGGGACCUUCGGGCCUCUUGCCAUCAGAUGUGCCCAGAUGGGAUUAGCUAGUAGGUGGGGUAACGGCUCACCUAGGCGACGAUCCCUAGCUGGUCUGAGAGGAUGACCAGCCACACUGGAACUGAGACACGGUCCAGACUCCUACGGGAGGCAGCAGUGGGGAAUAUUGCACAAUGGGCGCAAGCCUGAUGCAGCCAUGCCGCGUGUAUGAAGAAGGCCUUCGGGUUGUAAAGUACUUUCAGCGGGGAGGAAGGGAGUAAAGUUAAUACCUUUGAUCAUUGACGUUACCCGCAGAAGAAGCACCGGCUAACUCCGUG
This 490-nucleotide ribosomal RNA is filed under the name uncultured bacterium. Its description in RNAcentral is "partial 16S ribosomal RNA". It matches the Rfam family "Bacterial small subunit ribosomal RNA", at positions 30 to 507 of the family's 1533-position model. The record is from RNAcentral.